AGAGUUUGAUCCUGGCUCAGGAUGAACGCUGGCGGCGUGCCUAAUACAUGCAAGUCGAGCGAACAGAUAAGGAGCUUGCUCCUUUGAAGUUAGCGGCGGACGGGUGAGUAACACGUGGGUAACCUACCUAUAAGACUGGGAUAACUUCGGGAAACCGGAGCUAAUACCGGAUAACAUUUAGAACCGCAUGGUUCUAAAGUGAAAGAUGGUUUUGCUAUCACUUAUAGAUGGACCCGCGCCGUAUUAGCUAGUUGGUAAGGUAACGGCUUACCAAGGCGACGAUACGUAGCCGACCUGAGAGGGUGAUCGGCCACACUGGAACUGAGACACGGUCCAGACUCCUACGGGAGGCAGCAGUAGGGAAUCUUCCGCAACGGGCGAAAGCCUGACGGAGCAACGCCGCGUGAGUGAUGAAGGGUUUCGGCUCGUAAAACUCUGUUAUUAGGGAAGAACAAAUGUGUAAGUAACUGUGCACAUCUUGACGGUACCUAAUCAGAAAGCCACGGCUAACUACGUG
This 517-nucleotide ribosomal RNA is filed under the name uncultured Staphylococcus sp. RNAcentral describes it as "bacterial SSU rRNA". It matches the Rfam family "Bacterial small subunit ribosomal RNA", at positions 8 to 507 of the family's 1533-position model. The record is from RNAcentral. Lineage: Bacteria; Bacillati; Bacillota; Bacilli; Caryophanales; Staphylococcaceae.